CGCCCGGCGGCUUUGGUGAC
This 20-nucleotide microRNA is filed under the name Gallus gallus (chicken). RNAcentral describes it as "microRNA Ros-gga". The record is from RNAcentral. Lineage: Eukaryota; Metazoa; Chordata; Aves; Galliformes; Phasianidae.